AAUGAACGUUGGCGGCGGGGAUUAGGCAUGCAAGUCGAGCGAGAAGUUUUCCUUCGGGAGAACAGUAGAGCGGCGAACUGGUGAGUAACAGGUGGGUAACGUGCCCUGAAGCGGGGAAUAACCCGGGGAAACCCGGGCUAAUACCGCAUGUGGCCUUAAGGUUCAUGGACCUAAAGGUUAAAGAUUUCGGUCACUCCGGGAUCGGCCCGUCUCCGAUUAGCUUGUUGGUGGGGUAACGGCCCACCAAGGCAACUAUCGGUAGCUGGUCUGAGAGGAUGGUCAGCCACACUGGGACUGAGAUACGGCCCAGACUCCUACGGGGGGCAGCAGUCUAGAGGCUUCGGCAAUGGACGAAAGUCUGACCGAGCGACGCCGCGUGCGGGAUUGAAGGCGUUUUCGUCGUAAACCGCUGUGUAAGGGGAAGAAUGCCCGUAUGGUGAAUACGGGAGCGACGGUACCCUUACAGAAAGCUCCGGCUAACUACGUGCCAGCAGCCGCGGUAAUACGUAGGGAGCGAGCGUUGUUCGGAUUUACUGGGUAUAAAGGGUCCGUAGGUGGUCGCGCAAGUCUGGUGUGAAAUCUUCGUCGCUCAACGGGAAGAGGUCACUGGAAACUGCGUGACUUGAGUAUGGUAGAGGCUAGCGGAAUUCCGGGUGUAGCGGUGGAAUGUGUAGAUAUCAGGAAGAACACCGGUGGCGAAGGCGGCUCGCUGGGCCAAUACUGACGCUGAAACACGAAAGCGUGGGGAGCAAACGGGAUUAGAUACCCCGGUAGUCCACGCCGUAAACGGUGCACACUAGGGUGUAGGGGGAUAUCGACCCCCUCUGUGCCGACGUUAACACAUUAAGUGCACCGCCUGGGGAGUACGGCCGCAAGGUUGAAACUCAAAGGAAUUGACGGGGGCCCGCACAAGCGGUGGAGGAUGUUGUUUAAUUCGAUGCAACGCGAAGAACCUUACCUGGGCUUAAACUUGUAGGUAAACCCCUGGAAACAGGGGCUGUGGCAACACGACCUAUGAGAGGUGCUGCAUGGCUGUCGUCAGCUCGUGUCGUGAGAUGUUGGGUUAAGUCCCGCAACGAGCGCAACCCUUGUCGCUAGUUACCAGCGCGUUAUGGCGGGGACUCUAGCGAGACUGCCGGUGGUAAACCGGAGGAAGGUGGGGAUGACGUCAAGUCCUCAUGGCCCUUAUGUCCAGGGCUACAAACGUCCUACAAUGGUCGGGACAACGGGUCGCAAGUUCGCGAGAGCGAGCAAAUCCCAUAAACCGUGGCUCAGUUCAGAUCGUAGGCUGCAACUCGCCUACGUGAAGGAGGAAUCGCUAGUAAUCGCAGGUCAGCAUACUGCGGUGAAUACGUUCCCGGGCCUUGUACACACCGCCCGUCACACCACGAAAGUCGGUUGAUCCAGAAGUCGCCCUCGCAACCCGCAAGGGAGCCAAGCGCCGAAGGAACAGCCGGUAAUUGGGGUGAAGUCGU
RNAcentral lists this ribosomal RNA (1475 nucleotides) under uncultured prokaryote. RNAcentral describes it as "partial 16S ribosomal RNA". It matches the Rfam family "Bacterial small subunit ribosomal RNA". The record is from RNAcentral.